Molecule: ribosomal RNA, 453 nt
Filed under: Euploea mulciber (striped blue crow)
Lineage: Eukaryota; Metazoa; Arthropoda; Insecta; Lepidoptera; Nymphalidae
Description: partial 16S ribosomal RNA
Rfam family: Bacterial large subunit ribosomal RNA (bases 330-453)
Source: RNAcentral
GCAGUAUAUUGACUGUACAAAGGUAGCAUAAUCAUUAGUCUUUUAAUUGAAGACUUGUAUGAAAGAUUUAAUGAAAUAUAAACUGUCUCUUAUUUAAGAAUAGAAUUUAAUUUUUUAGUAAAAAAGCUAAAAUAAAUUUAAAAGACGAGAAGACCCUAUAGAGUUUUAUAAUUAAAUUAUUUAAGAUUUUUUUUAUAAUUUAUAAUUAAAAAUAAUUUAAUUAUUAUAUUGGGGUGAUAGAAAAAUUAAAAUAACUUUUUUUUUAUUAUAACAUAAAUAAAUGAAAAUUUGAUCCAUUAAUAAUGAUUAAAAGAAAAAAUUACCUUAGGGAUAACAGCGUAAUUUUUUUUUUUAGUACAAAUAAGAAAAAGAGAUUGCGACCUCGAUGUUGGAUUAAGAUAAAAUUUAGAUGCAAAAGUUUAAAAUUUUGAUCUGUUCGAUCAUUAAAAUCUU